Molecule: long non-coding RNA, 586 nt
Organism: Daphnia carinata
Lineage: Eukaryota; Metazoa; Arthropoda; Branchiopoda; Diplostraca; Daphniidae
Exons: 3
Source: RefSeq, a predicted model, not a curated record
CAAGCUUAGCUAGGGGAAAAGAACAAAUUGGAAUGGAACAGUUUCCAAACAGUGAAAGAGGUUUUUCCAAACUCAUCCCUAACUGAACAUGAGGAUGAAUUGGCAUUAGGUGAACACAGUCAGUUAUUCAGUCUACCACCUGACAGUGUUUUAAAGUUAAAUUCUGUUAGUGCUGCACUAAAAGAAUUGUUAGUAAUAAGUCCAUGCAGCGAAGGAAUUGAACAAUUGUGGGACUGUAUUUGGGCCGAAAAUGGGUGUGGUAUGGAAACCAAGAUAUGGCAUGAGUUCAACAUAAAACAUGAAUUAGAAUUUUAGUGGGGGAUCAAGUCAAGUCUGGAAGUGUUACAGGAUGGAAGAGUGAGCCUACAGUUGAAAAACACUGAAAGUGCAUUACCAUUAAGGUAUGAGGUAAAGUAAUAGAGUAUGCAAAUUGUCUAAUGAGAAGUACCAUCUUGUGUGAAUGAAUCCUGUGUAACAGCAAUCCUUUAUAGUUCUGUCACAGCUAGAGCCUCAAAUAAUUCUGCUGCUCUGGCUAAAGAACAACUUGUCCUUUACGUUCAGAGUGUUGGUGAAGCUGGGUACUUAA